Molecule: ribosomal RNA, 314 nt
Filed under: Belisana australis
Lineage: Eukaryota; Metazoa; Arthropoda; Arachnida; Araneae; Pholcidae
Description: partial 12S ribosomal RNA
Source: RNAcentral
AGUAGUAAUAUAAUAUAAAACUCAAGUAUAAUGGCGGUUUUAAUAUAUUAGAGAAACUCGCUUAUUAAUCGACAACACCCGUUAAGUUUCACUUAAUUUAAAAGUUUAUAUACCGCCGUUUCAGAAUUAAUUUUAAAAUAAAACUCACACCUCUAAACCUAAGAAAAAAAUCAGGUCAAGGUGUAACACAUGAUUAAGAAUAAGUAAGUUACAUUAAAAAAAAUUUAAGGAUUUAAUAAGAAAAUUAGAAAUAAAAAAGAAUUUAUUAGUACGUUAAGAUUAAAAUACUAAACAGAAUAAAUUAAUUAAAACGC